This 246-nucleotide ribosomal RNA is filed under the name uncultured bacterium. RNAcentral's name for it is "partial 16S ribosomal RNA". It matches the Rfam family "Bacterial small subunit ribosomal RNA", at positions 30 to 266 of the family's 1533-position model. The record is from RNAcentral.
AUUGAACGCUAGCGGGAUGCUUUACACAUGCAAGUCGAACGGCAGCGCGAGAAAGCUUGCUUUCUUGGCGGCGAGUGGCGAACGGGUGAGUAAUGUAUCGGAACGUGCCCAGUAGCGGGGGAUAACUACGCGAAAGCGUGGCUAAUACCGCAUACGCCCUACGGGGAAAGGGGGGGAGUUCUUUCGGAACCCCUCCACUAUUGGAGCGGCCGAUAUCGGAUUAGCUAGUUGGUGGGGUAAAGGCCU